GGGGUUGUGGCUCAGUGAUAGAGCGCCUGCUUAGCAUGCAUGAGGCAGUGGGUUCGAUCCCCAGCAUCA
This 69-nucleotide transfer RNA is filed under the name Ictidomys tridecemlineatus (thirteen-lined ground squirrel). RNAcentral's name for it is "Spermophilus tridecemlineatus (thirteen-lined ground squirrel) tRNA". It matches the Rfam family "tRNA". From Rfam's summary of the family: Transfer RNA (tRNA) molecules are approximately 80 nucleotides in length. Lineage: Eukaryota; Metazoa; Chordata; Mammalia; Rodentia; Sciuridae. The record is from Rfam by way of RNAcentral.